Molecule: RNase P RNA, 403 nt
Filed under: Rubripirellula tenax
Lineage: Bacteria; Pseudomonadati; Planctomycetota; Planctomycetia; Pirellulales; Pirellulaceae
Description: Bacterial RNase P class A
Rfam family: Bacterial RNase P class A
About the family: Ribonuclease P (RNase P) is a ubiquitous endoribonuclease, found in archaea, bacteria and eukarya as well as chloroplasts and mitochondria. Its best characterised activity is the generation of mature 5'-ends of tRNAs by cleaving the 5'-leader elements of precursor-tRNAs.
Source: Rfam by way of RNAcentral
CGAGUGGGCGGGGCGAUCGCUGGUGGUACGAGUUACCACUGGAGGAAAGUCCGGGCUCCGUAGGACAGGAUGGUCGAUAACGUCGACCGGCCGCGAGGCUAGGGAAAGUGCAACAGAGAGCAAACCGCCGAACGGUGGUUCGCCGAUUCGAAAGAGUCGUCGAACCAUGCGUGGUAAGGGUGAAACGGUGCGGUAAGAGCGCACCAGCGGUCGAGGUGACUCGAUCGGCUUGGUAAACCCCAUCCGGAGCUAGACCAAACAGAAUGAAGCGGCGGUCCGUCGCGUCCCAUCAUUCGGGUAGGUCGCAAAUGAGGCGGCGAGCAAUCGUCGUGCACAGAUAAAUGAUCGUCGACGACGGCAACAGCCGCCGUCACAGAACCCGGCUUACAAGCCCACUCGCUUU